This is a long non-coding RNA of Daucus carota subsp. sativus, 383 nucleotides long. RefSeq lists it as uncharacterized. The transcript has 3 exons. Lineage: Eukaryota; Viridiplantae; Streptophyta; Magnoliopsida; Apiales; Apiaceae. The record is from RefSeq and is a predicted model, not a curated record.
GCGUUGUAUUGAGAAUACUACUAACUUGGGAUUGUUGGUUUUGCUGCACAGAGAAAGGAUGUUCUUUAGCUCCACGGAUGGUUGAAUCAAGAUUCAUGGAACUUCUCAAUCAUUCUGUUUUACUUUAAAGAAGUGAUAUUAUGAUUUUACUACAAAAUAAUUACCUCACUGUGUUACAUGGGGAUUGAGCUUGUUAUACGCUAUGGAAAACAAAGGCCACAAAGCUUCAGUUUCCACUCAAGUUGAUGGGAUGAAGCAUGGUAUGAGUGUAAUCAUAAGAAAUGCAAAGAUAGAUAUGAAUAAGGAAGCAUGAGGCGAGGUUGACAAAUGAGGUUGCUAAGAGGUCACCAAACCUGUUUAGUUUUAAGUCAUGAAGGACAAUA